This 253-nucleotide ribosomal RNA is filed under the name uncultured bacterium. RNAcentral describes it as "partial 16S ribosomal RNA". It matches the Rfam family "Bacterial small subunit ribosomal RNA", at positions 524 to 776 of the family's 1533-position model. The record is from RNAcentral.
GACGAAGGGGGCUAGCGUUGUUCGGAUUUACUGGGCGUAAAGGGCGCGUAGGCGGCAUGACAAGUCACUUGUGAAAUCUCCGGGCUUGACCCGGAGCGGCCAAGUGAUACUGUCGUGCUAGAGUGCGGAAGGGGCUACUGGAAUUCUCGGUGUAGCGGUGAAAUGCGUAGAUAUCGAGAGGAACACCUGCGGCGAAGGCGGGUAGCUGGGCCGACACUGACGCUGAGGCGCGAAGGUCAGGGGAGCAAACGGG